This 446-nucleotide ribosomal RNA is filed under the name uncultured bacterium. RNAcentral describes it as "bacterial SSU rRNA". It matches the Rfam family "Bacterial small subunit ribosomal RNA", at positions 355 to 825 of the family's 1533-position model. The record is from RNAcentral.
UAACGAAUCUUCCGCAAUGGGCGAAAGCCUGACGGAGCAAUGCCGCGUGUGGGAUGAAGCGCCUUCGGCGUGUAAACCACUGUCAGGGAAUGGAACCAAUGAUUAUUCCCAAAGGAAGUGGCGACUAACUCUGUGCCAGCAGUCGCGGUAAUACAGAGGCCACAAGCGUUAGUCGGAAUCACUGGGCUUAAAGGGUGCGUAGGCGGGCCCGCAAGCGUCUUGUGAAAUCCCAUGGCUCAACCAUGGAAUUGCAGGGCGAACUGCGGGUCUUGAGGCAGGUAGGGCCGGAAGAACAGUAGGUGGAGCGGUGAAAUGCGUAGAUAUCUACUGGAAUGCCGAUGGGGAAGCCGUCCGGCUGGGCCUGUCCUGACGCUGAGGCACGAAAGCGUGGGGAGCAAACAGGAUUAGAUACCCUAGUAGUCCCUGAGCGGGCUGGCAAGGCGCAU